RNAcentral lists this long non-coding RNA (971 nucleotides) under Sus scrofa (pig). Its description in RNAcentral is "lncRNA (ENSSSCG00070006628.1)". Lineage: Eukaryota; Metazoa; Chordata; Mammalia; Artiodactyla; Suidae. The record is from RNAcentral.
CAGAGACUGAGUCACAGCAGCAUAGAAAGAAUGACUCAUGUCCUAUCGGCUAAACAUUAUCAGGUGUUGAAGAUGGAGCAAAACAACCUGUGUUAAAAAUAUUCCUCUACUGUGUCUGCUGGGAACACACAGGUAGCAUAAAAAUAAACUGAAACAAGUAAGAGAACUAGACUUGACAUGUGAAUAUAAUGAACUUGUGGUGUAUUAGAAGCAGAGAGCCUGGAAAAGUACUUGAGAAGAAGGCAUGCUUGGGUGACAGCUGAGAAACAGAAGGAGCAGUGUACAUUCUGCAGCAUGUAGGCAUUGGAUGGGAGCGACAGGUCCCAGGAUGCUCUACGUUGGACACGCUGCGACAUCUGCCAGGUCUGUGGUCCUGCUCUUUGACACGGGACAGAAAAUCCAACUCAACCGAUCUGGAGCUGAAGAUGAGAUGGAUCCUACUCAAGACACAGGGAUAAGAGGGAUCUAUUUUCAAAGGAAACAAGACAGUCUUAGCAAAAGAAGAGAAAUGGAGGUACAAAGCAAUAUGCCAGGAAUUUAACAUCUCUCAUGGUAGCAAGGUGGCUGCUGUGGUUCCAAACCUCACAUCAAAUCACCACUAAAUCAAAUUAAAGAAAGGAAGAUUAUCUCUCCCCAAAACUCUGGGAGAUGUCUCCUGUUUUCUCACCUGAUCUGUUUAGGUUAAGUGCUAUCCCUGAAUCAAGUCAGUGGAAAAAAACUCUUAACCAGUCAUGUUCAUGCUAUAACAUGAGGAGAACUGAGUAGAAUUGGUCCUCUUGACCCUCAGCAUUCCUGCUCAACCCCUCCCAUAUCAUUUUCUGCAGAGGUUACCUAUUUCAUAUCUGUUUAUUUGCAGCUUUGCCCUAAGCUAUGGUGGGUCAAUCAGAUAACUAAUCCCUGCUCAGCUGGUAACCUCCAGAUAACAUAAUGCCUUAACCUCAUUUACAAGUCUCUUAAAGACUCAUAAACAC